This 2185-nucleotide long non-coding RNA is filed under the name Homo sapiens (human). RNAcentral's name for it is "HSALNT0308531". The record is from RNAcentral. Lineage: Eukaryota; Metazoa; Chordata; Mammalia; Primates; Hominidae.
GCUGGGGCUGAUGGUCACCAAGGACGGCAGCACUGGUGUGAACAAAGAGGCUGCUUAAAGUCAGUGCCCAUUCUGAUGGGUCAGUGCCCUGUUCUGGCUUGUGAGUGCCUGUCUCUCCACGGCUCCCCCUCACCACAAUCCUCCCAUCCUUCUUCAACCGCUCCCCGCCCCCGCAGGAAGAGAGCCUGCUGAUUGGUCAGCUCAGUUUGAUUCCAGGGCCCUGGCUGUUACAUAUUUUGAAAAAUACCUUGUAUUGUAGCAGGUCUUCUUGAAAGUGGCAAGAAGAAAAGUGACUCAGAUACAUUUGUACACGGAAAACAGAUUUUAGCACACAAAUUGACAAAUUAUGUUAGAAAAUUUAUUUAACAAUUGUGAAAAACAGUUAUGGGGUGAGGGUGCUUAAAAGAAUGUUAAACCUCCAGAGAACACUAUUAUGAUGGGGUGGGAGGUAAAGUUAUACAAUAAAUUAUUCAAGCAUACUUUAAUACGUCACAAUGUGUUUAAGAAAAGAAAAAACAGUAAAAACUUUCGAUUUUGUUAGAAAAAAGUAUUUUAUGGCCGGGCACGGUGGCUCAGGCCUGUAAUCCCAGCAUUUUGGAAGGCCAAGGUGGGUGGAUCACCUGAGGUCAGGAGUUUGAGACCAGCCUGGCCAACAUGGUGAAACCCUGUCUCUGUUAGAAUAUAAAAAUUAGCCGGGGGUGAUGGUGCGCCCCUGUAAUCCCAGCUAUUCCAGAGGUUGAGGCAUGAUAAUUGCUUGAACCCAGGUGGCUGAGGUUGCAGUGGGCUGAGAUCAUGCCACUGCACUCCAGCCUGGGUGACAGAGAGAGACCCUGUCUCCAAAAAAAAAAAAAAAAAGAGAAAAAAGUAUUUAUUAAAUAAUAUACGUGUAAAAAAAUUUAAAGUCUAUUGUAAAAGAAUUGAAUUGUAUCGCCUCCAAUAAGAAAAAGAAAGAAAAUAUAGGAAAAUUUAUCAAACCAAUCAGUUAGUCCAGGUAAACGAGAUAGGUUGUGUUAAGGUAAUGGUGGAGAAGAAAAAAGGAAAGCAAAAGAUAAUAAACAGAAAGCUUCUACUGAAAGAGCUUUUAAAAAUACCCAUGCUCUUUGGAACACUUGUGCAGUUCGUGGGAAUGUAAAAUGAUGCAGCUGCUAUGGAAAACAGAAUGGAAGUUCCUCAAAAAAUUAAAAAUAUACUUAACAUAUGAUCCAGCAAUUCUACUUCUAGCUACAUAUCCAAAAGAAUUGAAAGCAGGAUUUCAAAGAGAUAUAGUAUUUGCACACCCGUGUUCACAGCGGCGUUAUUCACAAUAGCCAAGAUGUGGAAACAACCUAAAUGCCCAUCGAUAGAUGAAUGGAUAAAGAAAAUGUGUUAUGUACAUACCAAGAAAUAUUAUUCAGCCUUAAAAAGGAAAGAUAUAUAGUAUUUGCACACCCAUGUUCACCCCGGCAUUAUUCACAAUAGCCAAGAUGUGGAAACAAUCUAAAUGCCCAUCGAUAGAUGAAUCGAUAAAGAAAAUGUGUUAUGGGCCGGCGUGGUGGCUCAGGCCUGUAAUCCCAGCCGAGGUUGGUGGAUCACGAGGUCAGGAGUUGGAGACCAUCCUGGCUAACACGGUGAAACUCCGUCUCUACUAAAAAUACAAAAAAAUAGCCGGGCAUGGUGGCGAGCGCCUGUAGUCCCAGCUACUUGGGAGGCUGAGGCAGGAGAAUGGCAAGAACCCAGGAGGCGGAGCUUGCAGUGAGCCGAGAUCACGCCACUGCACUCCAGCCUGGGCGACACAGCAAGACUCCAUCUCAAAAAAAAAAAGAAAAAAGAAAAUGUGUUAUGUACGUACCAUGAAAUAUUAUUCAGCCUUAAAAAGGAAGGAAAUGCUGACACAUGCUACAACAUAGAUGAGCCUUGAGGACAUUAUGCUAUGUGACAUAAGCCACAAAAGACAAAUACUGUAUGAUUUCACUUAUAUGAGGCAUCUAAAGUAGUCAAACUCAUAGAAACAAAAAGUAGAAUGGUGGUUGCCAGCACCUGAUGAGAAGGGGAAGUGGGGAGUUGUUUAAUGGGUGUAGAUGGCCGGGCGCAGUGGCUUAUGCCUGUAAUCUCAGCACUUUGGGAGGCCGAGGCGGGUAGAUCACGAGGUCAGGAGUUCGAGACCAGCCUGCCCAACAUAGUGAAACCCCAUCUCUACUAAAAAUAC